RNAcentral lists this transfer RNA (84 nucleotides) under Porphyromonas sp. oral taxon 275. RNAcentral's name for it is "tRNA-Leu". It matches the Rfam family "tRNA". From Rfam's summary of the family: Transfer RNA (tRNA) molecules are approximately 80 nucleotides in length. Their secondary structure includes four short double-helical elements and three loops (D, anti-codon, and T loops). Lineage: Bacteria; Pseudomonadati; Bacteroidota; Bacteroidia; Bacteroidales; Porphyromonadaceae. RNAcentral also lists the same sequence under 1 other name. The record is from RNAcentral.
GCCCAGAUGGUGAAAUGGUAGACACGAGGGACUUAAACUCCCUUAGCCAAUUAGGCUGUGCCGGUUCGAGCCCGGCUCUGGGUA